AGUUUGAUCAUGGCUCAGGAUGAACGCUAGCGGCAGGCCUAAUACAUGCAAGUCGAACGCUCAGUAGCAAUACUGGGAGUGGCGCACGGGUGCGUAACGCGUACACAAUCUACCUCUAAGCGGGGGACACCUCCUGGAAACGGGGAUUAAUACCGCAUAAUAUGCCGAAGUCGCAUGACUUUGGUAUUAAAGCAGCAAUGCACUUAGAGAUGAGUGUGCGUCCCAUUAGGUAGUUGGUGAGGUAACGGCUCACCAAGCCUAUGAUGGGUAGCCGGUCUGAGAGGAUGGUCGGCCACACGGGCACUGAGACACGGACCCGACUCCUACGGGAGGCAGCAGUAAGGAAUAUUGGUCAAUGGUGGAAACACUGAACCAGCCAUGCCGCGUGGAGGAAUAAGGUCCUACGGAUUGUAAACUCCUUUUGACGAGGAAGAAAAUGUUAGAUUUAUCUAAUUUUGACGGUACUCGUAGAAUAAGCACCGGCUAACUCCGUG
This 494-nucleotide ribosomal RNA is filed under the name uncultured bacterium. RNAcentral's name for it is "bacterial SSU rRNA". It matches the Rfam family "Bacterial small subunit ribosomal RNA", at positions 10 to 507 of the family's 1533-position model. The record is from RNAcentral.